ACCCUGAACUGCAGCAACAUGCUCGUGGAAGAGCAAUUGGAAGGCGUGUAAGAAUACGUGGUGGUGGUAGAGGAAGAAAUAAUCGAGGAAGAGGUGGAAAUAGAAGAAAUAAUUUUUUUUUUUUCCAUGAAUGUUAUUUGUUGUUUGUGUAUUUGUGGUAAUACACAAAUAUGAAAUGUAAAGUGAAAUCUUGUUACUCUUGUCAGUUACUUUACAUGUACAGUAAAUACACUUGUAUUGUGUAUAUACACAUGAAGUACAAAAAUAAACACUGUAAAAAUACAAAUGUU
Long non-coding RNA from Carassius carassius (crucian carp), 290 nucleotides. RefSeq lists it as uncharacterized. The record is from RefSeq and is a predicted model, not a curated record. The transcript is spliced from 2 exons. NCBI's taxonomy places the organism in Eukaryota, Metazoa, Chordata, Actinopteri, Cypriniformes, Cyprinidae.